RNAcentral lists this transfer-messenger RNA (400 nucleotides) under Tannerellaceae bacterium. It matches the Rfam family "transfer-messenger RNA". Rfam says of the family: Bacterial tmRNA, also known as 10Sa RNA or SsrA, is named for its dual tRNA and mRNA-like properties. Its role is to liberate the mRNA from a stalled ribosome. The record is from RNAcentral. Lineage: Bacteria; Pseudomonadati; Bacteroidota; Bacteroidia; Bacteroidales; Tannerellaceae.
GGGGCUGACCGGUUUAGACAGCGGGCAGAAGUGGUUUGUAAGCAUGUAGUGCGUCGUUGGCUUGCACUUUAAUCUCAGGCAACGAACAAUUAACUGGCGAAAACAACUACGCUUACGCUGCAUAAGUCGAAUAAUAGUAGACCCAUUGCUUAAUCCCUGCAAAAGUUGCGGGGACGUAACGUCACCCGGAUGCUGUGGCUUCGAAGCGGUUCGAUAAGGUGGCGCAGAAAUAUCGGAGAUAGCCUGAAGUAGCCCCGGACUUCAGGUGAAACCAAGGGGAUAAGGAUUGGGUUGGUUGCUUCGGUCUUUCCCUCUCCCGACAAUGAAAGCGAAGAUAAACAUGUAGAAAGCAAAUUAGUUCCUCGUUUGGACGAGAGUUCGAAUCUCUCCAGCUCCACAC